This 75-nucleotide transfer RNA is filed under the name Streptomyces phage Sushi23. Its description in RNAcentral is "tRNA-Glu". It matches the Rfam family "tRNA". Rfam says of the family: Transfer RNA (tRNA) molecules are approximately 80 nucleotides in length. The record is from RNAcentral. RNAcentral also lists the same sequence under 30 other names. Lineage: Duplodnaviria; Heunggongvirae; Uroviricota; Caudoviricetes; Stanwilliamsviridae.
GCCCCGUUGGUCUAGCGGUUAGGAUACCGGACUUUCAAUCCGUGUGAACGUCGGUUCGAAUCCGACACGGGGUAC